RNAcentral lists this ribosomal RNA (589 nucleotides) under Leptolyngbya sp. HNBGU-004. RNAcentral's name for it is "bacterial SSU rRNA". It matches the Rfam family "Bacterial small subunit ribosomal RNA", at positions 166 to 787 of the family's 1533-position model. The record is from RNAcentral. Lineage: Bacteria; Bacillati; Cyanobacteriota; Cyanophyceae; Leptolyngbyales; Leptolyngbyaceae.
AUACCGCAUAUGCCGAGAGGUGAAAGGAUUUAUUGCCUGAGGAUGAGCUCGCGUCGGAUUACCUAGUUGGUGGGGUAAAACCCUACCAAGGCGACGAUCCGUAGCUGGUCUGAGAGGAUGACCACCCACACUGGGACUGAGACCCGGCCCAGACUCCUACGGGAGGCAGCAGUGGGGAAUUUUUCGCAAUGGGCGCAAGCCUGACGGAGCAAGACCGCGUGAGGGAAGACGGUUUGUGGAUUGUAAACCUCUUUUGAUAGGGAAGAAGGACUGACGGUACCUAUUGAAUCAGCCUCGGCUAACUCCGUGCCAGCAGCCGCGGUAAUACGGAGGAGGCAAGCGUUAUCCGGAAUUAUUGGGCGUAAAGCGUCCGUAGGUGGUUGGUCAAGUCAGCUGUUAAAGCGCGGAGCUUAACUCCGUAAGGGCAGUUGAAACUGGUCAGCUAGAGUGCGAUAGGGGCAAGGGGAAUUCCCAGUGUAGCGGUGAAAUGCGUAGAUAUUGGGAAGAACACCGGUGGCGAAAGCGCCUUGCUGGGUCUGCACUGACACUGAGGGACGAAAGCUAGGGGAGCGAAUGGGAUUAGAUACCC